CAAGGGGUGGCAGAGUGGAAAUGCGCUGGACUCGAGAUCCAGUGGCCCUUGCGGGCCUCAUGGGUUCGAAUCCCAUCCCCGGCGCCA
This 87-nucleotide transfer RNA is filed under the name Candidatus Bathyarchaeota archaeon. RNAcentral's name for it is "tRNA-Ser". The stretch from base 4 to 80 matches the Rfam family "tRNA". Rfam says of the family: Transfer RNA (tRNA) molecules are approximately 80 nucleotides in length. Their secondary structure includes four short double-helical elements and three loops (D, anti-codon, and T loops). Lineage: Archaea; Thermoproteati; Candidatus Bathyarchaeota. The record is from RNAcentral.